AUUUCCCCAAAUCUCUACAAUAGUCAUAAUUCCAUACCAGUUUAAACAGUAUCUUCUGAACAUCAUGUGUGGGUAGAAAUCCCUCUGGGGUGGAGGUAUUGUUCAAGAAAUGUUUACAUGAGAACUAUCAAUAAAAAAGUUCUUUGUUGUGUUGACAUGUAGCAAAUUAAAAUAUCAAAAUUUCAACUUCCAUAGAUUAGUUUCGAAUCGAACCUGGGUGCGUACCAGAACGUUGCAGUGCUGCAAAUGAAUUCACAAAAUGGCAAUACUGAUUACAUUAACAUAUGGUACUGUAAUACUACUCAAUUGAAAAUUGCAAUAGGCAGUCUUUGAUACAAAUAUUGGCACCAGUCAAAAUUGACUGCUGGCAUAGAACGCAGGAUCAUGAAAUUGGGUUUUUAUAUUCUCUGUUUUUAUUCAUGUUUUGUUUAAUGUCCUGCUCCUGUAUUUUAUGAAUGAUUGGAGGCGUUCAUCAUUCUUUUUUCUCUGUUUUACAUUUUGUAAGUCAUCUUGAAUUUUACUUUAAACAACACAAGCACAGACAAGAAAUACUUUAGCCCAUAAAUACAAUUCCUCCAAGCAGAUGGAAUUGAUCUUUUCAUGCCAAACUUGACCCUUAACCCUCAGAGAACUGUUCAGUAUUCAAUAUUGGUAGAAUAUCAGACUUAUGGGGCUAUUUAAUGGGUUUGGAACACCAUUAAGGAUGUAAUUCUAUACUCAAGUUUCUGCUGCUGCUGUGCUGGCAAAACUCAAGAUAUGCCUCCAGCAGAACUUCCCAGAUGUGAUGGUAAGAUGGCCUAAACAAGUGGAGCCGUGGGUGACGCAGAGGGGAAGAAUGCUUCUGCUGUAGCCUCUAUUCCUUCAGUCCAUGAGCAUCCCCUCACCAAUGGUGCAACUUUAUACCAGCCCCGGACUUCGGGCAAAUAAUCCCUUCCCAUUGACUUCAGUGGAAGGGCGUGGGGAAAAGACACUCCCAUGUUGAUAAAUGUUGUACUCUCAUUGGCAUAACAGAAGAUAGAAUAUGUUGUAACUCUGCUUCCAAUCACAGCACACACAAGUACAUAAACCCUACAAAGGGAGACCACAACUCCGAUGAUAACCCUAUCCUCUGCAACCCAUGCGCAGCAUAGGGGCUAUAUCUCUUUGGCCUCAGGUUUUGCACAAUAAGCGUGCGUAAUGGAGUACUCUGGAGAUGGGAAAGGGACACAAAAGGAGCACUUUGCACAUCCAGGGGAAUUUGAGCACAUGGCUAACACUUCUCUACUUAGAACCACAAUAGGUGCCUCACCGUGGGACUACAGGCACCCAACUCCAUCCCACUCCAACAGAUGGGUGUCGGGACACAACACACAGGCUGCUCUUGCAGAUACAUGACCCAUCCCACACCCUGUUCCUUGCUCACCAGAAGGGAGGACCAUCUCAUGACCAGCAGCAGUGACUUGGAUGCUCCUGACUGUUCCCUUGUGGAGUUAUUAACCAUUUUGCUCCAGUCCAGGCUCCUAUAGCCUUACCACCCCCCCGUGCCAGAUAACUGUGCAACAGGUAAAGGUGCCCUCAUUGUGGAGCUGGUGGUAUCAGGAACGCUGCACCCACUACCCAGCUGUUUGUCGAACCACUGUCCAAGACACAGGAGCCAAGCUGGGGCACAUGGUUGGCAGCCCUGCACAUGUGCCUCUCCCUUUCAGGGUCUUGUGCCUCCAGAAUGCUGUUCUCCAACAGCAUUUGAUUAUUUUAUUAGUUUUCAUCUCAUGCGAUUGUUUACAGCUCUCUAUAUGUGAUAUAGUGAUUUAAUUGUGGUGGUGUCAUGUUUUAUGCUGUGUGCUAGUGUUGGAUUUUAAUGUGGAAUUUCUAUUAUUUUUUAUGUUGUCAUUUUGUUUUAAUUGUUGUACGUUGCCUAGAGGACUCUGUUGAGAGAUGACUAAUAAUUGUAAAUAAUAAUAAUAAACAAAGGCUGUGACUCCCA
Elgaria multicarinata webbii is the source of this 1963-nucleotide long non-coding RNA. RefSeq lists it as uncharacterized. Lineage: Eukaryota; Metazoa; Chordata; Lepidosauria; Squamata; Anguidae. The transcript has 2 exons. The record is from RefSeq and is a predicted model, not a curated record.